This is a long non-coding RNA of Carassius auratus (goldfish), 1255 nucleotides long. RefSeq lists it as uncharacterized. The transcript has 4 exons. The record is from RefSeq and is a predicted model, not a curated record. NCBI's taxonomy places the organism in Eukaryota, Metazoa, Chordata, Actinopteri, Cypriniformes, Cyprinidae.
UUGUCGCUCUUUGUAUCUCUCGGUGCGUUUCUUCUCCCUGAGCUCUUGUUCUGUUCUCCUCAGUCUUUAGGGUGAUAUCACAGGAUUUUCAGUCACACACAGAGCUGAUGUGGAUGUUUCUGCUCCUCAUCGAUUCACUUUUAACACUCAUCAGAAAAGGAGAUUGUGGAGGGACGGAUCACAUGUGGAGUAUCAGACCCUACAGAAGAGAUAAAGGCAUUAAAUGAGAGAUGGACAACAGAGAGAAAGACUCAAAGCCUAAAAAAUCAUGGAAGCCUAUUCGCAGAGAAAGCAUGGAUAAAAAACCUAAUGUGUGUCUGGAUUCAGACGGACAUGCAAAGUUUCAUUCAGGUGAAUCAGAAACAGUCACAGAGGAGGUCACUUCAGUACAUCAGAGAUGUUCUGAGCUCUUCAGCUCCUUCAUCUUCUUCAUCAUCUGUCAUUCAGCAGUCAGUAAUGGAUCAGUAUGUCUCCCUCUGCUGGACACAUGCAGGUAGCACAAGAGGACGAUUAAAGGGACAGUUUACCAAAAAAAAUAAAAAAUAAAAAAAAUAAAUAAUAAAUAAAAAUAAAAAUAGGAGGAAAACUCUGUCAUCAUUUACUCACCCUCAAGUUGCUCCAAACAUGGUAUUUUGAGGAAAGCUGGUACAGAUUCAGAACAUAUUCUGCUACCCAUUUACCUCCAUAAUAUAUAUAUAUAUAUAUAAAAAAUAAAUAAAAAAUAUGAUCUCAAAAACUCAAAUACUAUGGCCGUCAAAGGCUACCAGCAAAUGUUUGGUUGCCAACAUUCUUCAAACUACCUGCUUUUGUGUUCAACAGAAGGCAGAAACUCAUACAAGUUUGGAAUAACGUGAGGACGAGUGAAUGAUGAGAAAAUUGUCAAUUUUAGGAGAACUGUCCCUUUAAAUAUUGUGUUGGUUCUGAGGGAAGGACAUCAUUCAGUACAUCAGUGUAAAACACUGUAGAUUGUGUUAAACUCUCUAGAUUAUCUGUCAUAUUUUGAAGCUUUUCUGUCAUGGUGUUUGAUCUGAAAGUGAAGCUCAGAAAACAUUUCACCAGUAUUUCGCACCUUAUUUGAUAAGUUCUCCUCAUUUUACUUGUUUCGGAGCCUAGAAAAACAAAAUAUAUUUCUGACUGUUCACUGUAACAGAGCUCAGUUAAAUGCUGCUUUACUCAUUUUCUGUUUAUUUUUAAAUUUGUUUAUAACUUGUAUAUGGUUCUUAUAAAAUAAAACCUCUGUGAGGUGCAUUACAUC